Molecule: ribosomal RNA, 719 nt
Filed under: fungal endophyte
Lineage: Eukaryota; Fungi
Description: eukaryotic LSU rRNA
Rfam family: Eukaryotic large subunit ribosomal RNA (bases 132-719)
Source: RNAcentral
GGGCUCUACGGUUGACGUAGGCCCUCAAAGGUAGUGGCGGACCCUCUCGGAGCCUCCUUUGCGUAGUAACUUUUGUCUCGCACUGGGAUUCGGAGGGACUCUAGCCGUUAAACCCCCAAUUUUCCAAAGGUUGACCUCGGAUCAGGUAGGAAUACCCGCUGAACUUAAGCAUAUCAAUAAGCGGAGGAAAAGAAACCAACAGGGAUUGCCCCAGUAACGGCGAGUGAAGCGGCAACAGCUCAAAUUUGAAAUCUGGCCCUUGGGCCCGAGUUGUAAUUUGCAGAGGAUGCUUUUGGCGCGGUGCCUUCCAAGUUCCCUGGAACGGGACGCCUUAGAGGGUGAGAGCCCCGUACGGUUGGACACCAAGUCUUUGUAAAGCUCCUUCGACGAGUCGAGUAGUUUGGGAAUGCUGCUCUAAAUGGGAGGUAUAUUUCUUCUAAAGCUAAAUACCGGCCAGAGACCGAUAGCGCACAAGUAGAGUGAUCGAAAGAUGAAAAGCACUUUGAAAAGAGGGUUAAACAGCACGUGAAAUUGUUAAAAGGGAAGCGCUUGUGACCAGACUUGCGCCCGGUGAAUCACCCAGCUCUCGCGGCUGGGGCACUUUGCCGGCUCAGGCCAGCAUCAGCUUGCCGUCGGGGACAAAAGCUUCGGGAACGUAGCUCUCUUCGGGGAGUGUUAUAGCCCGUUGCACAAUACCCUUCGGCGGGCUGAGGUACGCG